UGGGGAAUAUUGCGCAAUGGGCGAAAGCCUGACGCAGCAACGCCGCGUGGGUGAUGAAGGCCUUCGGGUCGUAAAGCCCUGUCGGAGGGAACGAAUGAUCCUGAGGUUAACAGCCUCGGGAAGUGACGGUAUCCACAGAAGAAGCCCCGGCCAACUACGUGCCAGCAGCCGCGGUAAUACGUAGGGGGCAAGCGUUGUCCGGAUUUAUUGGGCGUAAAGGGCUCGUAGGCGGCUUAGCAAGUCGGUCGUGAAAUACCGGGGCUCAACCCCGGGAUGCCGAUCGAAACUGCUAUAGCUUGGGUCCGGUAGAGGAGAAUGGAAUUCCCGGUGUAGCGGUGAAAUGCGUAGAUAUCAAGAGGAACGCCGGUGGCGAAAGCGACUCUCUGGACCGUUCCUGACACUGAGGCGCGAAAGCUAGGGGAGCAAACAGGAUUAGAUACCCUGGUAGUCCUAGCUGUAAACGAUGGGCACUGGGUAGGGGGCGUCUGAUGCGUUCCCUGCCGAAGCUAAUGUAUUAAGUGCCCCGCCUGGGGAGUAUGGUCGCAAGGCUA
This 551-nucleotide ribosomal RNA is filed under the name uncultured bacterium. RNAcentral's name for it is "bacterial SSU rRNA". It matches the Rfam family "Bacterial small subunit ribosomal RNA", at positions 355 to 896 of the family's 1533-position model. The record is from RNAcentral.